UACGUAGGGCGCAAGCGUUAUCCGGAAUUAUUGGGCGUAAAGAGCUCGUAGGCGGUUUGUCGCGUCUGCCGUGAAAGUCCGGGGCUCAACUCCGGAUCUGCGGUGGGUACGGGCAGACUAGAGUGAUGUAGGGGAGACUGGAAUUCCUGGUGUAGCGGUGAAAUGCGCAGAUAUCAGGAGGAACACCGAUGGCGAAGGCAGGUCUCUGGGCGUUAACUGACGCUGAGGAGCGAAAGCAUGGGGAGCGAACAGG
RNAcentral lists this ribosomal RNA (253 nucleotides) under uncultured bacterium. RNAcentral's name for it is "partial 16S ribosomal RNA". It matches the Rfam family "Bacterial small subunit ribosomal RNA", at positions 524 to 776 of the family's 1533-position model. The record is from RNAcentral.